UGUUAGAAGGCAGACCCGGAGAACUGAAACAUCUUAGUACCCGGAGGAAGAGAAAGAAAAAUCGAUUCCCUGAGUAGCGGCGAGCGAAACGGGAAGAGCCCAAACCAAUAAGCUUGCUUAUUGGGGUUGUAGGACACUCUAUACGGAGUUACAAAGGAAUAUAUUAGACGAAUCAUCUGGAAAGAUGAAUCAAAGAAGGUAAUAAUCCUGUAGUUGAAAAUAUAUUCUCUCUUGAGUGGAUCCUGAGUACGACGGAGCACGUGAAAUUCCGUCGGAAUCUGGGAGGACCAUCUCCUAAGGCUAAAUACUCUCUAGUGACCGAUAGUGAACCAGUACCGUGAGGGAAAGGUGAAAAGUACCCCGGAAGGGGAGUGAAAGAGAACUUGAAACCGUGUGCUUACAAGUAGUCAGAGCCCGUUAAUGGGUGAUGGCGUGCCUUUUGUAGAAUGAACCGGCGAGUUACGAUUUGAUGCAAGGUUAAGCAGGAAAUGUGGAGCCGUAGCGAAAGCGAGUCUGAAUAGGGCGUUGAGUAUUUGGUCGUAGACCCGAAACCAGGUGAUCUACCCUUGGUCAGGUUGAAGUUCAGGUAACACUGAAUGGAGGACCGAACCGACUUACGUUGAAAAGUGAGCGGAUGAACUGAGGGUAGCGGAGAAAUUCCAAUCGAACUUGGAGAUAGCUGGUUCUCUCCGAAAUAGCUUUAGGGCUAGCCUCAAGUGAUGAUUAUUGGAGGUAGAGCACUGUUUGGACGAGGGGCCCCUCUCGGGUUACCGAAUUCAGACAAACUCCGAAUGCCAAUUAAUUUAACUUGGGAGUCAGAACAUGGGUGAUAAGGUCCGUGUUCGAAAGGGAAACAGCCCAGACCACCAGCUAAGGUCCCAAAAUAUAUGUUAAGUGGAAAAGGAUGUGGCGUUGCCCAGACAACUAGGAUGUUGGCUUAGAAGCAGCCAUCAUUUAAAGAGUGCGUAAUAGCUCACUAGUCGAGUGACACUGCGCCGAAAAUGUACCGGGGCUAAACAUAUUACCGAAGCUGUGGAUUGUCCUUUGGACAAUGGUAGGAGAGCGUUCUAAGGGCGUUGAAGCAUGAUCGCAAGGACAUGUGGAGCGCUUAGAAGUGAGAAUGCCGGUGUGAGUAGCGAAAGACGGGUGAGAAUCCCGUCCACCGAUUGACUAAGGUUUCCAGAGGAAGGCUCGUCCGCUCUGGGUUAGUCGGGUCCUAAGCUGAGGCCGACAGGCGUAGGCGAUGGAUAACAGGUUGAUAUUCCUGUACCACCUAGUAUCGUUUUAAUCGAUGGGGGGACGCAGUAGGAUAGGCGAAGCGUACGAUUGGAUUGUACGUCUAAGCAGUGAGACUGAGUGUUAGGUAAAUCCGGCACUCAUAAGGUCAAGCUGUGAUGGGGAGAGGAAAUUGUUUCCUUGAGUCGUUGAUUUCACACUGCCAAGAAAAGCCUCUAGAUAGAUAACAGGUGCCCGUACCGCAAACCGACACAGGUAGUCAAGAUGAGAAUUCUAAGGUGAGCGAGCGAACUCUCGUUAAGGAACUCGGCAAAAUGACCCCGUAACUUCGGGAGAAGGGGUGCUCUUUAGGGUGCAAGCCCAGAAGAGCCGCAGUGAAUAGGCCCAAGCGACUGUUUAUCAAAAACACAGGUCUCUGCUAAACCGUAAGGUGAUGUAUAGGGGCUGACGCCUGCCCGGUGCUGGAAGGUUAAGAGGAGUGGUUAGCUUCUGCGAAGCUACGAAUCGAAGCCCCAGUAAACGGCGGCCGUAACUAUAACGGUCCUAAGGUAGCGAAAUUCCUUGUCGGGUAAGUUCCGACCCGCACGAAAGGCGUAACGAUUUGGGCACUGUCUCAACGAGAGACUCGGUGAAAUCAUAGUACCUGUGAAGAUGCAGGUUACCCGCGACAGGACGGAAAGACCCCGUGGAGCUUUACUGUAGCCUGAUAUUGAAAUUCGGCACAGCUUGUACAGGAUAGGUAGGAGCCAUUGAAACGUGAGCGCUAGCUUACGUGGAGGCGCUGGUGGGAUACUACCCUAGCUGUGUUGGCUUUCUAACCCGCACCACUUAUCGUGGUGGGAGACAGUGUCAGGCGGGCAGUUUGACUGGGGCGGUCGCCUCCUAAAAGGUAACGGAGGCGCUCAAAGGUUCCCUCAGAAUGGUUGGAAAUCAUUCAUAGAGUGUAAAGGCAUAAGGGAGCUUGACUGCGAGACCUACAAGUCGAGCAGGGUCGAAAGACGGACUUAGUGAUCCGGUGGUUCCGCAUGGAAGGGCCAUCGCUCAACGGAUAAAAGCUACCCCGGGGAUAACAGGCUUAUCUCCCC
RNAcentral lists this ribosomal RNA (2321 nucleotides) under Staphylococcus lugdunensis UCIM6116. RNAcentral's name for it is "bacterial LSU rRNA". It matches the Rfam family "Bacterial large subunit ribosomal RNA", at positions 170 to 2492 of the family's 2925-position model. The record is from RNAcentral. Lineage: Bacteria; Bacillati; Bacillota; Bacilli; Caryophanales; Staphylococcaceae.